This is a long non-coding RNA of Zonotrichia leucophrys gambelii, 2073 nucleotides long. RefSeq lists it as uncharacterized. The record is from RefSeq and is a predicted model, not a curated record. The transcript has 3 exons. Lineage: Eukaryota; Metazoa; Chordata; Aves; Passeriformes; Passerellidae.
AGAAACUUGAAGGUUUGGAGAGCAAGAAGAAAAAUCCUCUAGUUCCCAGUUAUCCUCUUGUCCCUAGUUAUGAAGAAAAACCUCUGCCCCAGACUGGGAACAGUUUAAAAUGCAGCUCCUCAGCACAGCUUGUGGGAUAACGCCUGAGAAUGUGCUGCCCUGCCUGGGGCUGGACCCACCCCACUCACACCCAGCUGCACAUUCAAUUGCUCAGACGCCUCCUGUCCCCCAUGACCUUUUAACAGCGCCACAGGGAGGAUCAGCAGGGCUCCUUGUGAGCACCUGGGAAAGUGCCAGAGGACAUUUCAGCAACCAGAAGCAUGGAGAAGGGUAUUUAGGUUUUGUUUAAAUUUUUAACCAAAGUUUGGGAGAGUUUCCAGGAGCAGUGUGGGCCGUGGUUCAAUGCUGCUGGUCCCUCCAGCUGGAUCCCACCUGCAAGUCAAGUACCUCAAUCUUUGUUUUUGCCCACACAACCACUUGUCAGACUAUGGGGCUGUUCCACUGCUAUCACAUAGAGGCACAAAGGCAAGAACAGCUCCAGCCCUUGUCACCCUGGGAAUGUGUGGGGAAACCAUGGAGCUCCCCAGCCACUGCAGCCACAGGAGACAUUGCUCCAUCAGGAGAGGAUCUUGACAAGGUUCUCUUGCCACAGGCUGGAGUGACUCUGUUCAGAGGCAGCUGGGGAAGGAGAGGGGUCACUGUGAGUCCCACAGCAGCCAUGAGGAGCCCCUCAAGUGCUCAUAAAUGGGCAGAGCAACACAGCUCAGGGCUCUGCUGUCAGCUCAGAGGAUUGCACAGAGCAACCUUGCUUGCCCAGACCUUGGAGUGUGUCUGUACUGUCUAGAGCCUGCAGUUCUCAUGGUGAAGAAAACUGGAAGUUAUUCUCCUGGUCUUCUGUGUGAGUAGUAGAAUGGGUUUGGUAUUGCAGCAGAAAAAGCUGAUAUGGACAAGAUGCUCCCUUGGCACUUCAGCGGGGUUUGGCUGCAACCUCCGUGCAAGAAAUCUCGUCUUGCCUCCAACUGGGAAUCCCCCAAAUCCCAACAAAUGGGAUUCAGAAUCAUGUCAAGGUAUGAAACAGUCCUUCUCUGUUGGGAUUUUGCCACAUUAUGAUUCUUAUUCCUGCUCCAAAACUCACUGGGAGAUAUGGCUUUGUUCUCUUAGAUUUGACUCCAACUGGGAAUCCACCAAAUCCCAACAAAUGGGAUUCAGAAUCAUGUCAGGGUAUGAAACAGUCCUUCUCUGUUGGGAUUUUGCCACAUUACGGUUCUUAUUCCUGUUCCCAAACUCGCUGGGAGACAUGGCUUUGUUCUCUUAGAUUUGGCUCAGGAAUUUAAGGUGAGGGCUCCAUCACUGCAAGAGAGCAUCACAACCAUUCCAAGUUGUAUGGAUGUGGGGUAGAGGCAGGUUUUUCUGUGUUUGUGGUGGAUCAGUGGUUGCACAGAGGGAUCUUCAGUGAAGACAUGCACCCGCUCAUCAAUAUUUGUGUAAAUGAGGAAAAAGACAGAAAAAAACAGUUUGGGGCAAGGAAGAGUGCAGGCCCUGGGAGUGAGUGAGACAAAAAAGCCAAAGUGAUAGCUGUAAAUGGUUUUAAAUAUAUACAAAACACAUCUGUGUAAUUAAUCACCCUGAUUUAAGUUACACCCCUUUUUUCAUGUGUGUGUAGGUAACACCAAGGGCUACAGUGUUAUCUUGGAGGAAUGUUUGUGUCUGGGGAUCCAUACUCACCCUGCCAAUAACAAAUCUUCCCCCGAGUUUCUGAACCAUUAAUUACAGUUUUGUAACAGGCAAGUUUUGCAACCAGCUCAAGGUAAUUCACUACAACACAGACGUCUGGCAGAAACAAAUGAAUCUCUGAUGUGAAAACUGACAGUUGCUUAGACAUGAAUGCUCAAGACUUUGUAAUGUUUGUUAUUAAAAAUAAAACGAGUCUCACUGUCCUUGCCAGCCUGCCUGCCUCCAUACACUUUUCAGCACACUGGCACCUGGGAAGAACCAUUUCCCCCAGCUAAAAAGCAAGCACCAACAACCCCAAGCAGGUCAAGAAUUAAAAGUUAAGGUCCCACAUUUUCAGAG